This 43-nucleotide ribosomal RNA is filed under the name Lasiodiplodia parva. RNAcentral's name for it is "partial 18S ribosomal RNA". The record is from RNAcentral. Lineage: Eukaryota; Fungi; Ascomycota; Dothideomycetes; Botryosphaeriales; Botryosphaeriaceae.
CCUGCGGAGGAUCAUUACCGAGUUUUCGAGCUUCGGCUCGACU